GAUGAACGCUGGCGGCGUGCCUAACACAUGCAAGUCGAACGGAGUAUCUUUAACAGAAUUUUUUCGGAAAGGAAGAUAUUGAUACUUAGUGGCGGACGGGUGAGUAACGCGUGGGUAACCUGCCUCAUACAGGGGAAUAACAACCGGAAACGGUUGCUAAAACCGCAUAAUAUGCUAACAUCGCAUGAUGACGGCAUUAAAUAUUUAUAGGUAUGAGAUGGGCCCGCGUCUGAUUAGCUAGUUGGUGAGAUAAAAGCUCACCAAGGCGACGAUCAGUAGCCGGCUUGAGAGAGUGACCGGCCACAUUGGGACUGAGACACGGCCCAAACUCCUACGGGAGGCAGCAGUGGGGAAUAUUGCACAAUGGGGGAAACCCUGAUGCAGCGACGCCGCGUGAGUGAAGAAGUAUUUCGGUAUGUAAAGCUCUAUCAGCAGGGAAGAAAUUGACGGUACCUGACUAGGAAGCC
Molecule: ribosomal RNA, 467 nt
Filed under: uncultured bacterium
Lineage: Bacteria
Description: SSU rRNA
Rfam family: Bacterial small subunit ribosomal RNA
Source: RNAcentral